AGACGGAGGGUCCUAGCGUUGUUCGGAAUAACUGGGCGUAAAGGGUACGUAGGCGGUUUGGUCAGUUAGAUGUGAAAGCCCAGGGCUCAACCUUGGAACUGCAUUUAAUACUGCCAGACUUGAGAUCGGAAGAGGAAAGCGGAAUUCCUAGUGUAGAGGUGAAAUUCGUAGAUAUUAGGAGGAACAUCAGAGGCGAAGGCGGCUUUCUGGUCCGAUACUGACGCUGAGGUACGAAAGCGUGGGGAGCAAACAGGAUUAGAAACCCCAGUAGUCCC
Molecule: ribosomal RNA, 275 nt
Filed under: uncultured bacterium
Lineage: Bacteria
Description: partial 16S ribosomal RNA
Rfam family: Bacterial small subunit ribosomal RNA
Source: RNAcentral